CGUAGGGUGCGAGCGUUAAUCGGAAUUACUGGGCGUAAAGCGUGCGCAGGCGGUUUGUUAAGAUAGGCGUGAAAUCCCCGGGCUCAACCUGGGAACUGCGCUUAUGACUGGCAAGCUAGAGUACGGCAGAGGGGGUGGAAUUCCACGUGUAGCAGUGAAAUGCGUAGAGAUGUGGAGGAACACCAAUGGCGAAGGCAGCCCCCUGGGUCGAUACUGACGCUCAUGCACGAAAGCGUGGGUAGCAAACAGGAUUAGAUACCCUGGUAGUCCACGCCCUAAACGAUGUCAACUAGGUGUUGGGAGGGUAAAACCUUUUAGUACCGGAGCUAACGCGUGAAGUUGACCGCCUGGGGAGUACGGCCGCAAGGUUAA
Molecule: ribosomal RNA, 372 nt
Filed under: uncultured organism
Description: bacterial SSU rRNA
Rfam family: Bacterial small subunit ribosomal RNA
Source: RNAcentral